AAAUUGAAGAGUUUGAUCAUGGCUCAGAUUGAACGCUGGCGGCAGGCCUAACACAUGCAAGUCGAACGGUAACAGGAAGCAGCUUGCUGCUUCGCUGACGAGUGGCGGACGGGUGAGUAAUGUCUGGGAAACUGCCUGAUGGAGGGGGAUAACUACUGGAAACGGUGGCUAAUACCGCAUAACGUCGCAAGACCAAAGAGGGGGACCUUCGGGCCUCUUGCCAUCAGAUGUGCCCAGAUGGGAUUAGCUUGUUGGUGAGGUAACGGCUCACCAAGGCGACGAUCCCUAGCUG
This 292-nucleotide ribosomal RNA is filed under the name Salmonella enterica. RNAcentral's name for it is "partial 16S ribosomal RNA". It matches the Rfam family "Bacterial small subunit ribosomal RNA", at positions 1 to 289 of the family's 1533-position model. The record is from RNAcentral. Lineage: Bacteria; Pseudomonadati; Pseudomonadota; Gammaproteobacteria; Enterobacterales; Enterobacteriaceae. RNAcentral also lists the same sequence under 1 other name.